Molecule: long non-coding RNA, 1134 nt
Organism: Entelurus aequoreus (snake pipefish)
Lineage: Eukaryota; Metazoa; Chordata; Actinopteri; Syngnathiformes; Syngnathidae
Exons: 2
Source: RefSeq, a predicted model, not a curated record
AGUGCAGUGAAACCUAUUUUGUCCUCGCUAAGAGAAAUAUUUGUCAACACUGAUACACACAUUGUAUCUCUGUAUUUAUCGAUGAAUACACACACGUAUAUACCAAAGUAUUCGUAAUACAUGACUUCUGAGUAGUUCCCACUGUCAUGGGUGUAAGUUUAUUUUGAACCGCGAUCCCGGAAGUGAGUCGUGUGAUUAGUGCUAGCUUGAUGCUAACGUAGCCUGGCUGUCAUGGAGUUGACAGUACUAGUCAGGCGAUGUUAAAAUGUAAUAAACGACAUUAUUCGAUAAUUCUGGACGGACGUUCAUCAUAUUCGCCGUGGUAUAAGUGUCGUGUCGUGACGAGGAGCAGGUAAUCUGUGAAUGCAGCUAGUGUGCAGCUGCAGGCGCCCCACCCAAUGGUCUCUCCCACCAUGAAGGCGGUCGUGGACGCCGUGUGGGCGGUAUGGAGCAUCGGGGCCUCCAUCUACGACUACAUCCACACCAGCGCCAUGGAGGAGCGCAUACACGCCCUGGAGAAGGUCAUCACCAUCCACCAGUGUGCCAUCGGGAUGCUCUCGGCGGCCAUCUUGAUGCUCUUCACUUACAUCUUCCUCAAGAAACUUUGAGGGUCGGACUGCACCGGUAAAGUAAACAAUAGUCAAUUUCUCCAGGUAACUCAAUAUGCUGCAGGGUUGUUUAAACAGUUAGCACACGGUCCAUUCAAAUUUAUUUAUUAAUUCCUUGCUGCUAUCGUUUCUUCCGGAAGACACACUGGGACACCAAACUUGCUGAUUGAUAUGUUUUAAAUUACUUAUCAGAUAGAUAAAUACAGAAAUCACAUGCAUGGUGGUGAAUAAUAACAAGACCACAACAUUAGGUACCACUAGUCAAACAAGAGUAUAGUAGAUAUAUUUUAAAACUAGAAAAUAUAUUUUGGAGCUAAUUGGUACCUCUGCCUUCAAUGCUCCGUUUUAAUUUGGAAUUAAACAAUGUUUAUUGUGGUGUUUACUAUGUACUUUUUUUUUUUUAACCUGCUACUUUGAGCAAAAUAUAACAACUGUACACCAAACUACAAGUACUUUAACUUUAACUUAACAUUAUUGAUUGCACUGUUAGUUGAAUACCUUUUCAAUAAAGUCAAUUCAAACUGAG